RNAcentral lists this long non-coding RNA (39322 nucleotides) under Cucumis sativus (cucumber). RNAcentral's name for it is "long non-coding RNA (CSAT_LNC001074)". The record is from RNAcentral. Lineage: Eukaryota; Viridiplantae; Streptophyta; Magnoliopsida; Cucurbitales; Cucurbitaceae.
UUUUUUUUUUUUUUUUUAUGAUUCACAAAAAAUAUUUCAUACCAAUAUAGAGCAUGUUUUUCUCACUUUAUGUCUUUGAUCUUUCAAUAUUCCUACUCAAUUAAUUUUCUUUUAUCACAACUUCAACAGUAUUGUUCUCUGAGUUGUUUUCCUAGUAUUAGAUUUUACACUUACAUAACUUACUUGACAAAGCACAAUAUUAAAAACUUGUACCAACAAAAAAGUUUUAGAAAUUUUAGAAUAAGAAGAAAAUUAAAGACAUUCCCAAUCCAACUUUUGAAACUAUAAAUUGAAUCUCAUUAAAAUGAAAUGACUUCUAGUAAAGGUAGAGUGGAAUCAAAGAGUUAUGAAAUAUUUGAGUUAAGCUAGAGGUGAGACAAAAAAAAAAAAAAAAAAGUUAAUGCAUUCACAUGAUAAUAUGUCAUAAAAAUUAAUAAGAAAGCAAAAAAGCAACGCAAUUUCCCAUUCCCCUUCCAUUUAAAAUGGGACUUGCUUUUGCCUAAUUAGUAGCCUGUGGGGGACAAUUAUCAACCCUGAGAGGAUCACAAAUGGAGUCACCCACUAGUUUAGUUUGGGAAAACAAGAAAAAUAAAAUCUUUACUUUGAUUUUCUUUCUUUUCAAAAUCUGAUCACACUUCUAGAUUGAAAAAAAUAUAAUUGAAUUACCUUUGUAUAGUUCCAAGAAAAUAUUAACGUAGACAUCUAAACGUCACAGAUUUAGUAUAGAUCUAGAAAUUCAAUAUCAAAAGUUAGUUUUUUUUUUUGUAAAACUCUCUCAACCAUCUCUACAACUAUAGGUUUAACCACCCCUCAUCAUAUCAUUUUUUCAAAUUAUUUUUAUUAAACUAUACAAUUCCAUUGGCGAAAUUGAUAGAUUUGUCUUACAAUUGCAAAGUUUACUUUCACAUAGUAUAUAUGUCUUAUGAAACAUAUCCAACAUGUUCUAACCAUAUUUCACUCACUUAUAUUAGACAUAAACUACAAAGGUCAUAGUCUAUUAUCAAUAAUUUGUGAUAACCAUUUCAUUUUUCUUUAUCUUCUUACUGUUGUUAUGAUAUAUUUCAUAUUUGUUAAAGAAACAUUUGAUCUCACAAUUUAAUCUAGUCUUUACACUUUCAAUGCAAGUUUUAAACAAAAUAUAAAGUUUUGAAAGCAUAUUAAUAUAUUGUAUUUUCUUGAAUAAAUUAAAACUAUUAUUAUAAUUUAACUAAUUUUAAUUAAAAAAAAUUUAAACAGAUUAAAACUGUGAUUUAAAUCGAAAGUAUUAAAAGCUAAAAUCAAACAACUAAAAAUUUUAUAAACUAGAGUGAUAUUUUAACUCUUUUUUAAUUUAGAUAAUUAAUCUUUUAUAAAAACACUUGGUUGAAACCUAUUUAUCAUUACUUACAAGAUACAAUUUGAAAAUGUACUAGGACUAACUUAGUAGAUGGAGAGUAAUAAGAAGAGGUAGAGUUGAGGUACAAAUAUUGUCUAAAGGACUUAGAGGUAGACUAUUUAAUAUUAUAUAUCUAGACUUGAACACAGAGCAUCUUAGAGCCACACGACUCUGAUAUCAUAUUAAAUAAAAAAUUGUUAAUGCUACAUUUUUCCUCUUGAUCUUUAAUUCAAUCCAUUAACUUGAUUUGUUAGAUUAGUUAUAUGGUCUAUAUUAACAACCAUUUUUCCUUUUUUCUUGAUGCAUCUUACAACAAUAGCUCGACUCCAACCAUUAAAAUAUUGUAGGAAUAGUUAACGAGAGAGAAAGGGAGAGAGGGGUAUUGGUAUUGGUAUGGAUUGGGUUGGGAAAUGAUGAUUGUAAGUUGGGUAUGUCGAAAAAUAAGAUAAAAUUUAUCUGGGUUUUAAGGGGGGAAAUGUGAUUGGUUUACAUAGCAUUGCAUGUUCCCCACAAAAUGUUUGGUGUCAGCUGGCAGAGACAUGAUGGCCUUUUCCUUACAUAGAAACACACUAUUUGUUGACAGUACUCUUCAAUUUCUAAACCAAAAUACACACAAGAAAAAGAAAAAAAAAAUUAUAAUGUGUGUUUAGGGCUUUGGAAAAUGAGGCCACAAACAAACAAAACCCCUAUUCAAAUAACAAACUCAUCAUCCUUUUAGGUUUCUGCCUUUCUCCAAUUUGUGACUGUUUUUGUGAAAGAUAAGGGCAUGGGAUAAAGUUACCUCUCUAGUCGGCGCAUGUCACUUUCUUCUCCCUAAUUUUUUCACCCCAUCUCUCUCUUUUAAUAUAAUAAUAAAUAAAUAAAACCCUAAUAAAGUUACAAGAGAUGGAGGUUUUUCAUAAUGCUCUAAUUUCACAUUAUGAAAUUCAAACUUUUCGAUGUAAGGAAAUUAGACAGAUAUAUAUAAUUCUCUAAAAAGUAUGAUUAUUAUGGUUAGAUUGUAAACAAUUGGAAGAUUUGUAGUACAAUGGGUACAAGAUGUACAAGAGUAAAACUAGCUUGCAUUUGAUCACCUGGUUCUUAAAUUAUGAACACACUCAUGAAAGAUUUACUUGUUUGAUGAUUAUCUUCAUGACACAACUUCUUUUACAGUGCACAAUAGCUAGUGUGAUACUCUAAAUCUAUAAUAAAGUGACAUAUAGUUAAUUAGGUAAACAAUUUAAUUAAUUAAUUUUAAAUCGUUGGUGCUUAUAAUAUAGAGAUACAUAAUGCCUCUUGGUUAAUAUCAUAGGAACAAUUCAGAAUCAAUUUAGUUGAAAGAGCAUUUGAAGGGUUGAAAUUGGUGUUUAAUAUAUUUGAUUUAUCUAACGAAAGAAAAACAUGUUUAUUGUAAUUUAGUACAUUAAAUAUCAAAUAAAAUUACUCAUAUAUUGAUAUACCUGAAAUAAAAUUCUAUAUACCUAGUUUGAAUGAGACUCAAAUAAGAAACUGUAUGUUAGGAAAAGUUUGAUAAGUAAAUUAGAUUUAAAUAUCUUAUUUUAUUCAUUAUUUAGAGAACAUUUCUUUUGUAUAAUUUUGUUACAUCUCGUUCAGUCUCUUUCCAAGGAGACUCUCAUGAGCCUUAUCCUAGUUUGAGUCAUAGCAAUGAAGUGUUUGUAGCAAUUAAAACCUCGUUGAUAUACGCCCAUCAACCCAUGGUCUUCAAUAUACAUCAAGGUACGUAAAUGAUUAAGCAUUGUUUAUUUUUUCUUAUUUAAUUAUAAACAAAGUCAAUGCAAUCCAAUGUUUCUCUAUAGGACAAAGAGUUCAUUCCCUUGGAGAAAAAGAAUUAUUCUUUUUAACCAUGAAAAAAACAUUAGGUUUAAUCAAAAAAUUAAUUGAUAAUGUGAAUAGUAACUCGGCUAUUUUUUAAAAUAUUUUUGAAGUCACGCCAUCUUUUCCACUACGAAAUCCUCCUCAACAAGGUAUCUAAUCCCUCACAAGUAUAUCAUCCAUGGAUAUGUGUUUCCUAUUUAUAUACUUAGAAACUUCUUCACUUCUAGUCUAUGGAUGUGUACUAGUGUCUUCUACAUCAGGGUGUUUAAUAACCCUACUUUUCUUUAUGCAUGGGCAUGCAUUAUGAUUGAUGUUGACAUUUAAUUAUGCCUAAGGAGGCUAAAUAUGGAGAAGCAAAGGAGAAGUGAAUAGAUUAUGGGUGUUAAGGAAAGAUUCUUUCAAGUAUAAAAUAGUGAGGGAAUAUAUUUUAGUUUUGGAUGCAUUUAAGUAACAUAUCGUUGUGUUUUUCUUAUCCUUCUCUAUUUACAAAUUAAAAUCUAAAUCAACAAUUGGAAAUAUAGUUAUCAUGGCGAAAUCAAAGUAGUUGCAUUCAUCCUUUGGUCGUCCACGACUGUGUUGGUAACUCUACUUUCUUCCUUUUUAAUUUUUUUUUUUUGUUGUUGAUGUGGAUUGAAAAUAUAUGAGUUGUUAAAAUUUAUGUCAUAAAACUCGUAGUUUGUAAUUAUAUUAUAUUCAAUAAAGAGAGAUCUUGAAUACUAUAAUCUUAAAUCCAAUAAACUAAGGUUUCGAAACUAUUUGGAGUAAACUUGAAUUUUAUGUAGAGACAUAAACGUGGAUUAACUUGAACUUUGGGCGCCUUAUUCUGGGACACUAUGGAUGCAGGCGACUUUGUAGUCAAUGCAAACAAUGUGAUCUUGAAUUGUUCAUGUAAAGACAUGAAAUUGAAGACAUUUUAUGUAAAGAGCUUACAUAAGAAUGAACCAUGAAAUAGUCACUUUUACGUUAUAACGUCGUUUACUGUUUCAAGCUGAUUAUUUCAAUUAUUGAUGACCUAGGUAAUUAAUCUUAAUCUUGAGCUAACUAUAAACUCCUAUUCACACAAGAUUAUCCUUAGAUCUGCAUAGAUAAGAGUAGCUCUUUAGCGCUAGCCUAAUAAGUCUCUCAUUUCAGAGGUAAGAUCGAGUGGAUAGCUGGGGACAUAGGGUGCAAGAUGAAAUUCACUCAUACCCGCUUUAGGGUUAGCAGAUAAGUUGUUCACUUAGGGACUGAAUCCAAGUCUUGAACAAGGUGCCCUACUCUCUCAUUGGCUCGAGAGGGUUUCGGUUUAUAGGUUGGACCUUAAACCAAUUGUUCAUUAGUGGAUUUUAGUGGGACUUCAGAAGCAAGAUGUAGUCUCGGAGAUAAAACAAUAUUUUAAUCCAACCAAGCUUACGAACAACCUAUGAAGGAUUUGUUGGAAUUUAUGUCCUAAAACUCAUAGAUUGUAAGUAUAAUCCAUUGAUCGUUAUUAAUAAAUUGUUAUUAUUGUAAUAAUUGUUAUUGAUUAAAUUAUUAGUUUUGUCUUAAUAAUCCAAAUUCAAUAAACUAACAUCCUUAGUUGUUUAAUGAGUCUUGAACAGUAUAUAGAGACAUAUAGAGAUUAAUGUUCAAGAUCAACUUAAAGGGUCUAUAGUAUAGGGAUAAGGUUGGGUACCUUAUCCUGGUAACACUAUUAAUACGGCUCACGUUGUAUUUGAUACAAACACAAUGAUCCAACGCGUUCAUGUAGUUGACAUGCAAGUGAGGGUAUCCUAUGCAAUGAGUUUGCAUAAAACCGAACCGCAAAAUAGUAAUCACUAGAUGUAACUUCGUUAACUAGUUAGGUUUCUAUUUCACUAGGAUGGCCUAGGUAAUUUAGUCUUAAUCCUGAGUGUAUUAUGAAUUCCUACUUGCAAGGGAUUGUCCCUUGAUUUGUACGGGUGAGAGUGGCCAGAUCGCUGACUCAAUAUGCUUAUCAUUUUGGGGACAAUACGGAGUGGGGAGUUGGGAACAUAAUUACACAAGAUGGAAUUCACUCCUUCCCUACUUUAGGAUAAGUAGAUGAGUGUUUUCUUAAAUGGUGUCUUCAGGUCUUCAACAAAGGGUCAUACCCUCUCUAUGACACGAAAGGGGUUUCUGUUAUUGGUAGGACCAUAAACAGGUUGUUCAUUGGAGGAGGACUGGUAUUUAAUGAUUAGAGACAACCUAGGGGUAAAACGGUAAAUUGACCCAACUGGUGUUACGAACACUCGUGAGAAUGACUAACUUACUGUUAUUGGUCUAUAUCUGUGGACACAAAAAUAUGUCUAAAGUGAGAAUAGUUCAGUUGUGUGUCUUUAGUGGAGUGUACACACAGUUAAUGAAUAUUGAUUAAUGAGGUUAAUGAGUUUAGCCAAUUAAUCUCAGUUCGCUCUGAUCUGUAGGUCCAUUAGGUCCCCUUCCUAACUCGUAAAGGGUAAUGAGAUUUAUUAAUAUUCGUUGUAAUUUGAAAUGUUUAAAAUUACUUUGAGAAUUAGUUUAAUGUACUAUACAUUAUAACAUAAAGUUUGUGAUAUAAGAUAUUUAAUUUAGUUAUUAAUUAAUUGGAGAAUUAAUUAAUAAUUUAUUUUUAUUUAAUUAAAUUUAAUUUAAUUAAAUCUAUAAGAUAUUGCAGAGAUAUUCAUUCAAAUAAGAUUUGAAUGAAAUAUUAAUUAAAUAUGAUUUAAUUAAUUAUAUUAAUAUAAAAUAUAAGAUAUUGGAAACAUAUUCAUUCAAAUAAGAUUUGAUUGAAAUAUUAGUUAAAUAUGAUUUAAUUAAAACUAAUUGAUUAAUUAAUUAGUAGAUUUGAUAAUAGAAUCUCAUGAUGCUCUCAUACUCUUUUUCCUAUUACAAGAACAAAAUAGAGUUAUAAUUAAUAUUUAGAAGAAAACGGUUUUCUUUAAACCAAAUUCAUCAAGAAAAAAGUCAAGGUUUUUUCUCUCUGCAAAAAGAAAAGAGUGUCUCUCAAAUAUCUUUAAACUUUUUCCCAUCCGAGUGAUAGAACUAAGUCAUGCACAGCGGAAAAAAAAUCGAAUUUCUACCCUAAUUGCCACAAUUAACAUGUAACCAUAAACUAAUUAAAUUAGGGUUUUAAGAAAUAUUAUCUUUGAAGCUUUCAAAAGGUUUGAUAUCUUCUUACCAAUUCUAACCGAGACCACCACUAGUACUCAACUGCUAUCCUCUAGACAAAGAACCGGGUUGUGGGACCCAAUUUUGGUGUAGAAAGUAAUGGAGAUAAAAUGAGAUUGGAAGGUUUCUUUUUUCUUUUGUUGAGAUGAUGAAAAUGAUAAAAGAGGCAAAAGUUCUUCAACAUUUGAAAACACCUCUAUUUAUAACCUAAUUACAUGCAAAAAUGCAUGCAAUUCAUUUGCCAAAUCUCAACACCUAAUGUUCCACUAACAAUUAGUGGAACUUAGUGGGCUAGGUGUCUAUAUCUCAUAUAGCCACAUAUCCCACUAAGAGUUAGUGGGAUUAUCCAACAAAAUGUUGGAUUUUCCCACUAACUUAGUCCAAGGGUAAAAUGGUCAUUAGAUAUUUCUAGUCAAAAGUCAAUAUUUUGACUUUUUACCAUUUUGUCCGUCUUGACUAAUUCCAACCUCCCGAGCAUGAAUCCGCAUUCAUUUUUCCAAAAUUCAAAUCACAUUUGAAUAUAAGGCCGGUCAAAGUUUGACUUUUCAAAGUCAAAAGUCAACAUUUUGACUUUUUACUAUUUUUGACCAAUUCCAUCAAUUCCGAGCUUCUUAGUAUGAAUCCGCAUUCAUACUUAUAGUAUGUAAAACAUAAAAGCUCUAUUUCUAAUUAGAAGACCGACGACUAUAUCACUAUAUUUGUCGGUUUCCCUUUCUUCUCCCAAUUCGAACAAUUCGACUUAUUUCAUCACACUGUUCUAAGUUUAAUCCAUAUGAGCUAGCAGAGGAACCUAAUGGACCUAUAGAUCAUGGGCUCCAACGAUUCAAGAUUAACUAGCUAAACUCUUUUAAACCGAGUUAAUCAACAUUCGUUAACUAACGGGUCAUUCCACUAAAGUCCCGUAGUUGCACUCCCCUCACUAUAGAUAUAUUUGUGUCCAUUUGAUAAAACCAUAAUCAGUAAGUUAAUCCUUCACAGGUUGCUCGUAACCUUGGCUGGGUCAAAAUACCGUUUUACCCCCAAGAUUACAUCUUGCUCCUUAAGUCCCACUAAUCCACUAUUGAACAAUUGGUUUAAGGUUCAACCUAUAAACUUAAUCCCUCUCGGGCCAAUGAGAGGGUGGGGCCCCUUGUUCAAGACUUGGAUUCAGUGCUUAAGAGAACAACCUAUCUACUAACCCUAAAGCGGGUAGGAGUGAAUUCCAUCUUGUACCCUAUGUUCCCAGCUAUCCACCCGAUCUUACCCCUGAAAUGGGAGGCUUAUUGGGCCAACGCUGAUGAGCUGCCCUCACCUAUGCAGAUCUAAGGAUAAUCUCGUGUGAACAGGAGUUCAUAGUUAACUCAGGAUUAAGACUAAGUUACCUAGGUCAUCAAUAAUUGAGAUAGUCAGUUUUAAACAGUAAACGGUGUUAUAACGUAAAAAAGACUAAUUCAUGGUUCAGUCUUAUGUAAACAUUUUACAUAGGAUGCCCCCACUUUCAUGUCUCUACAUGAACGAUUAGGAUCACCUCGUUUGUACUACAAAGUGGGCCGCAUCCAUAGUUUCUCUAAAUAAGGCGCCCAACCUUUAUUUCAUAUACUAUAGACUAUUUAGGCUAUAUACUCGAACUUGAUCCACGUUUAUGUUUACACAUAAAGUUCAAGUUUAUUCAAAAAUAGCCUUGGAACUUGAUUUAUUGGAUUUAAGAUUAUAAUAUUUAAUUUCUCAAUAAACAACUUUAUUGAACAGAAUAUGAUUUACAAACUACGAGUUUUAGGACAAAAAAUUCCAACACCCAGUUGGUUCCCACAAAACAAUCUCAUCCCAGAGGAUAGGAAGGUCUACGACGGGUGGUGUCCCCAAUUUGAUGAUUUGUAGAUUCAGAGACGUCAUUGAAGUAAGUUCUCUGUAUUCUUUAAUUUAAAAGCAUGCUUAGUGUUUAUUUAGAAUUUUGCUUCUAAAAUUUCGCCAAUGUACUGACAUUUUAAGAUUUGCAAAUUAAUUUGAGCAAUGGUUCUUUAAAUUCUUCUGCUGCCAUAGGUUUUUAUCCCUUCAGGAUUAACUUACUGAUCAUGGUUAUAUUAGAUGGACAAAAAUAUAUUUAUAGUGAGGAGAGUGCAACUACGAGACUUUAGUGAAAUGACCCGUCAGUUAACAAAUAUUGAUUAGCUUAGUCUAAAAGGGUUUAGCCAGUUAAUCUUAGAUCGUUAGAGUCUAUGAUCUAUAGAUCCAUUAGGUUCUCCUGCUAGCUCAUAUGAAAUAAACUUAGAAUAUUAUGAUGGAUUGAUUCAAAUUGUUUGAAUUAGGUGAUGAGAGAGAAAUCGACAAGUAUAUGUGAUAUAGACGUUCGUUUAGAGAUAGAGCUUUAUGUUAAAUAUGAUUUAAAUAUAAAAAAUUAUGAAUACAGAUUCAUACUCGAAAGCUCGAAAACAAUAAAAUUUGUCAAAGUUGUAAAAAGUCAAAAUUUUGACUUUUGAAUUUUAAAAGUCAAACUUUGACGAGUUAUAUAUUCAAAUGUGAUUUAAAUUUUGAGAAAAUGAAUUCGGAUUCAUGCUCGGGAAGUCAAAAUUAGAAAAGAAGUUCAAAAUGGUAAAAAGUCAAAAUGUUGACUUGCCCUCUCAUGUAGUUGGCGAUUGACACUAAGCCAAGCGAUAAAUAUAGCUUAACUAAUGCGACAAUAAUUAUAAGCUAAACUCCUUAUCAAGAACUUAUAAAAAAUUUAACUACUAAUAACACAUCGACAAGUGAGAAGUUAAGAAAUGAAGAAUUGAAAAGGUAUAAACAUGUAUUAUAUGUAAAGAAUGUAGGUCUUAGGCCAUUGUACAAUAUAAACAACUUAUAUUACAAAAAAAUUGUAAAAAUGAAAAGAGAAAAAAGUGGAAAAACAUUACAUGACAAUGGAAGUAUGGAUUCUUCCCUUCCUCAAAGCCAAUCUUUCGCUUCUACAACUAAUCGAAGAAGAAGAAGAAACAUUUACAGGCGGUGGAAAGCCUUUCCACCGCUCUCUCUAGAACCUUUGGCCUAUUUCGGGCGUCUUGCACCCAUUCAAGCACUUUCUUGUAGGUUGACGAAGAUGACUUUAUAUAAGCAACAUUUGGGAGGGACAGUUCUAUCUUUUGAACUUGUUAGCGACAUCCGUCGAAAAAUGUCUGUCGUACGUCACAUCACCUCCAACUAUCGCUCUUGUGUUCUAGUAACCAUUCUUUACAUGAUAACUUUGUUCGUCGCCUGUAGACAUUAAUUGUCGAAGAGUUCCUGGUUGUAGUCCUUGCGCGAAAUACUUCCUGCGAUUCACUGGUUUCUUUCAUUGUUCAUUAUCAUGCGUUUAGAAAUUAAAAUAAUGUGAAACGAGUAUAAUACUUAUGUAAAGUGUAUUUCCAAGUACUUAUGCGUUUACAACACAAGUUACACAUUCUACUUAUCUUCUUAUGCCUUUUAACCUCAUUAUUCUAAUAAAAUGAGCUAUAAUAAUGAAUAUUUAUACACGUUAUUAGCCCUCAACCAUGCACACGUAGCCAACCCCAUCCACAAUGUCAUUGGGCACCGUUAGACUGUUCUUGGGCUGCUUUCAUGCUCUAUAUAGUAAAUGUUUUCUUUGAAUAUCUUUUCUAGCUGGAAUAUCUGUGAAACUUUCCUCAAUAGCGAAAGUGUUUUAUGUUUGAAUUCCUGAAUAGUUAAUAAGUGGUUCAAAGUCUUGAUAGGUGGAGAAGGUAUUAUGUUAUUGAUAGUAUUCCUCCGUUGGUACUUCUUGUGUAAAAUACGUGUUACUAAAAUAUUAUCUAAAGGAAGUUAGCUAACAACUGUUCUUAUCGUUUACUAUUGCAAUGAUUGUAUAUGAGAGGGGGUGAGACCCAAUUGAGAGACACUGAUGGAAAUCCCAAAUAACUCGUAUGACACUGGUUGAGUGCGGAUCCUAAGUCCAAAUGAGGGGAGGAUUGUUGAUCUAGACAAGGGUGUAAUGGGACGUGCAGGAAACAAGAAGCCCAAGACUAAGAGAGAUGAAUGUGAUGAGCCACUGGUAGCAAUCCUAGGCAACUCGUGUAAUGCUAGUUGAGUGCGGAUCCCAGGACCAGGUGAAAGGAGAGUUCCAAUUCUCGGUAACAAGUACAAAUUGUGAUGCAAUUUAAACUCGUGAAGCUUAUGGCAGUUGGGAUAUUAAUGGUCAUAUUGAUUGGAGACUAUAAUGUGGUUAAAUUGCUAAACAAUCUAAGUUAUAGUGCAGAUGGCACUUGUAGUAGUAUUGGUUGUAUUGUUUAUGGACAAUAAUGUGCUUAAAUUGCAAGGCGAUCUAAGUGCGUAGUGUUCGUGGCACUAAUUUUACUAAUGGUUGAGUGCUUUGUUGCAUUAUGAGAUGAGAUUUAUAUAUUAUUGUUGAACCGUAGUAUUAUUGUUUCUGUGGUGUUUACCCAAAGAAGGUUUUUCUCAAACUCAUCACUCACUAAGUUCGUUUGACUUACGUUUUAAGUGUUUCCCUCCCUAGGUUGUUAAGCGUCAAAGCCAAGCGAAAGGUGGAUAUCAGGCAUUGUAGCCUAGUUAAGGAGGGAAAACAAAGUAACUUUGUAGUCUUGUGGGGCAUGAUAAUCGUUGUAGAUACCGUAUUUUCUCCUAUAUUUAUUUAUUAUAAAAGAAAAAAGAAAAAGAAAAAGAAAUUAAAUUUGAAUUUGAAUUUGAAUUUGAAUCUUAAAUUUAUAUUUUAAAAAAACAAUAAUAAUAAUAAUAAAUACAUUUAAAAAUAAAUAAUAAAAAUAAAAAUAAAAGGUUUGAUUUCCUUCCUAUUUUUUCUCAACCAUCCCUUUUUCUUCGUCAUCACUCUCCCACUUUCUCUCACUCUAUCACUUUCUCCCACUCCCCCACUUUCUUCCUAUUUCUCUGUAGUCUGCACUCCAUCUCGUGAUCUAAAAAAAACAAUGGAGCUUGCCCUAUAAAAAGGAAAGAGGAAAAAAGAAAGAGGGAUGAUCUUUUUUUUUUAUUACUGGAGGAUUUAGAAAGAGGUGAAGAGUGAAAGAAGAUCAAAAGAAUAACCUUUGGCAUUUAAGGGCAGACUUGCUGGUAAGUUUUUUUUCUUUUUCCUCUUUUUAUUCUUAUUCUGGUUUAAUGAUUUUUUUUUUCUUGUUUGAUAUACUGCUUUUAAUUAUGAACUAUCGUGUUCAUCAUUUUACCAUCAUUUGACAUGUUAAUUUUAUUAUUUGUAUCUUUUUUUAAUACUGAGCAUUCUACCUUCCAUUAUAUAUUAAAUUUUUUAUUUUUUAUUUUUAAAUAUUGAGCAUUCUGUUCUGUGUUAAUUUCUUUUUAAUUGUUGGGUAUCCAUUCUGUGUUAAUUUUUAAAUAUUGAGCAUUCUGUUAUGUGUUAAUUUUCUUUUAUUAUUGGGCAUCCAUUCUGUGUUAAUUUUCUUUUAUUAUUGGGCAUCCAUUCUGUGUUAAUUUUCUUUUAUUACUGGGCAUCCAUUCUGUGUUAAUUUCUUUUUAAUUAAUUAGCAUCAUAUAUUUGUAUUUGGAUACUCAUUCUUCAUUGACACCCAUUUUACCAUUUUACAGUUAAUUACUUAUAUCCAUAUGGCAUGCCUUAAUAAUUAUGCAUAAUUAAUCAAUUAUGCAUAAUUAAUCAAUUAUGCAUAAUUAAUCAAUUAGCCUUUUGUAUUUGGCAAUACUCAUUCUUCAUUGGCAUCCAUUUUACAGUUUUUGUUAAUUACUUUAUCCAUGUAUCCAUAUGGCAUACUCCGUUAAUAAUUACUGUUAUCCAUAUAUUAUCCAUGUUAAUAAUUAUGCAUGAUAUAAUUAAUAUUUGGCAACAACCAUUUUUCAUUUGGCCUAUUAAUUAAUUAGCAACUUGUAUGUGACAUUUUCACUCCCUCAUUCUAAUUAUUUGCAUGAUGUAUUAAUUAAUCAAUAUGCAUAUGUGGCUAUAAUUAUUUGAUAUUUAUUUUGGUGUGAUUAUUUAUUCGCAAUAUUAUUUAUUUGCAUAUUGGGCCAAACCUACUUUAGCAUUCAACUGUUAAUUAUUAUUUGAUAUCCAUUUGGCCUCGUUUAAUUAUGCAUUAAUCAAUUAUUUUGCAUCCUGCAUUAAUCAAUUAUUUUGCAUCAUUUUGAAUUAAUUAAUUAUGUUGCAUGUGUUGUAUUAAUUAAUUAUCUUGCAUCCUACAUUAAUAUCUUUUACAUUUUGCAUAUAUUAUCAAUGUAUUUAUUUUAUCUCAGCAUAUUACACCUAAGUAUUUUUCAAAUUUCAUAAUGUUUUGUCAUUGUUAUUAUUUUUUUUAUAAUAAUGUAAAUUGGAGAAAAAGUAUUGUUUUUUAUGGAUUUUAUAAUUUAAAAUCCAUAAAUACAUGAAAUUUUUCUGUUUGAAAUUUAAUUAAUAGAUUAUUUUUUUUAAAUUAACACAUUUCAUAUUUUAAAUGAGACUGAGUAGUAUUUUCUAUGAAUUUAUUAAUUCUAGAUAUAUGAAAUUUUUCAUUAAGCAGCUAUGAUAGAGAUUAAAAUAUCAAGUGUUGGUAUCUUAAUAUUCUUAAGGUGAAUAAAAAUAUUUUAAAACAAAAAUAAACUUAAUUUUUCUAAUGGCUCCUAUGCCACUCAUAAUCAUCAAUUCAUGCUUAGGUUUUACUUUCUUCGAUAUAAAUUGAUAAACAUGGGACAUUUAAACAAAACCUAAAUAAAAAUUUUAUUUUGUGAACCUCUAUAAUUUAAUUUAAAAGAUAAAAUUGGGUAACCAUUUUUUUGGGUGUUGUAGGGUGCUAACACCUUCCCUACACAUAACUGACUCCCGAACUUAAAUCUCUGAAUGUACGCAGACCAUUUUUUUUUCUUUCUUUUUUUUGGGUGACCAAUCACACCUUAAUAUGAUUGGUGGCGACUCCAAAAUUUUUUAUUAAAAUAAAAUAAACGGGGAGGUCGGCCGCUCCGCGUAGCGAUCACGUCGCGACAAUCGUGUCAUCUUAUCUUGCAUCUAAGGAGUCAAUUGAUAAGAUUAUCGCUCCUUAACACCCAAACCUAGGGUAAAUAGGGAAGCGAGGCUCGAAAAUCUCAAAAAGUUGAGGCAGAGUAAGGAAGUCUUGGAGAUUGUCUUUUCACCCAAGACUGAGGAGUUAAUAAGGUAAGGAAAGGAAAGAGAAGCAAAUUGAAGUGGCAAAGAAGGGAAACUGGUAGUAACUAAAGUGGAGGCCAAGUAUUAGUACCAAGAAAGUUCCAAGAGUUGUAAUUUUAAUAUUCAAACCAUGUAAAAGUGUUAAGUCAACAAAGAGAAUAUUUUCUUGUACUCAUUUCAAUGUACUUUAUGUUUCUAUCGUGUAAAUGGACAAACGUAAAAGAGAACGCAGUAUCAAGGAUAGGUUAGUGAAAAUUUAAUUUGUAAUCCACUAUCCCUUGACGAACAAAGUUUGGCGUUUAAGUUAUGCAUUAACAGAUAAGUUAUUCUGCUUACUAGGUGUUUAGCGCAUUACCUCGCAAGAAGUACACAAUAAAGGUUUAGGCGGCAUGUUCUCCAUUUGGUUGUGCAAUGUGACAUUUGGGGUGGGACGUGACAAAAAAUAAGGAAACUUUUGGAAAAUUUCUUAAGUAUUUUAAUGGGCCACGUGUACAGAUUAAGCUAAGCAUGAUUAAGUUUAAAACAAUUAUACAAACUUCAAAGUAAUGCAAAGCUCAUAUAAAACAUCUUUCUGAAACAUAGAACUUUAAUCUCUUUCUCUCUCUUGCUAUAUCGUAAAUCUUUAUAUAUCAAUCGAGACGAAGAAACUAUGCAUGGAAGCCCUAUCUCAUGAUAAGAUACUUAUAGGACGAAUGACCUAGGCAUCAAUAGUGCUCUAUCUCGUAGAUAGCUAGGAGAUGGAAAAGUUAGGCAUUUGAAGAGGUUCUCAUCUCAAACCUAGUCAUAAAUGGUAGAAGAGCUAAGUAUAUAUUGAAUACCCUCACCAUAGGACCUCUGUGCACAUGAACUAUAUUACCCCCAUGGGGUUGCUAUAUGUAUCUCAUAAUCAUCUCAGUAUAGACUUAAACACAUAAAUCACAUACUUAUAGAAAUCUCUUCAUAAGCUUUAAAUCAUGCUAAAACUUUCAUAUUAAAAAAGUUUUGCUUGUAAAACACAUUUAACUUCAAUAGUGUUUCAUAUAAACAUACUUUUGAUAACAACUCAAGUUUAAACAUCACUUACAUACUAAGAAUUACUUUCUCAAACUUAUGUAUUUAAACAUACCUUUUUCCUCAAGCUCAAGCAAACAAUUUUACUUUUGAAAAGCAUGUUAUAAAACAAUUAACUUAAAUAAGAUAGAACAUAUUUCUAAAACAUUUUAAUGUCACUCACAAUACUCGAUUAGCCUCCCAGCCUAUAACAUUUCUCCAUAAUUUCUUGUCCUUAUGCGAAGAACGACUCCUUUCACCCUGAUGCUCGACCGACUACAACAAAAACCUGGAACACUUAAAACUUCAGCUUUAAAUUCAAAGAAUUGAGUUUUGUAGCCUUCAUAAACUUAGUACUACUCAGAAUCCUUCAAAAACUUACCUUCAAGUGUUCUUUAUCUUCAAAUGCAACCUUCCCUUAAUAAAUUUUGUCUGAUAGUCUCACACUAGGAAAUAGACUCACAAAGAAAGCUUUUCCAACUUGAAUCACUCAAUUUGCACGAGAAAAUUGAAAGAAAUUUAAUUCUGAAGUGAGCCUAUUUAUAGAGUUGCCUAGAAAGUAGACUUAGCCACCUUCUGCUUGCAGGAACCACCACUUUCCAUGCUAAAGACAUUUGGAAACCACUUUAACCGACUACCCAAAACGCCUAGAAGCACUUAUAAACACCUAACCUUCACUUUUUCCUCGCCAAGUGCAGUACCUCCUCGCCAAACUAACCUCUAAUCACCUUGGCCGAAAACCUCUUCUUGCCUAAGCUUGCUUGCUCGCAUAGCAUAAACUAACCUCAUAACUUCUUUAAAUGUUUAGCCAAAACAUAAAGACACCUCCAGCAAGCUUCCUUGCCUAGCACUAAAUGCCUAGGACAUUAUUGUAGAGGUUCUCUCCUAGCAACUUUCAUACGCUUGCCGCCUAUUUUGGAAUAAUGCUUGAGAUAACCUCUUCAGAGGUUCUUGACACUCCAUCUUGCCUAAGCCAAUACCCAAUACCCAACGCCUAUGCCUUCUUCCAAAAUGUCUAACUCUUUAUUCAAAGCACCUAACUCUUUGCUACAAUAACCUCUCAAUAGUUAGCCAACUUUCAACCAACAAUAAACUUCUCUCCUUCCCAUUUUGGCCGCCAACUAUCAACUUCCAUACUUAACCAUAAUUUCUCUUCUCUUGUCCAACUAACAAACAACAACAAAUAACUUAAUUUCUUAACACCUAACAUUUUUAGGGAGUUUCAAGAACUAGAGUUCACACCACGCAGCUUUAUCAUGGCAUUCCUCGGUGUCCUACCACAUCAUAUUUCUUGAUGUCAUCUGUAUUGGAUUCAUAAAGACCAAGCUUGCUGGAAUUUCAUGAUAGUUUAUUUUCAUGUAUUCUCUCUUUCAAGUCCAUGUUAUCAGUACUAACUCGCUUUUGGUGAUCUUUCUUUUGUAGAACGAUGGUUUACUUCACAAAACAAUUCUUGUCUGGAACUAGACACCUUGUAAUACUUUCUAAUAAAAAUAAAUCAAUAGAAGAUGGACUUAUUCUCCUUGUGGAGAAGCCAUCGAUUGCCUCUUUUUAAGAUUAUUGGCCAAGCUUAGACAACAACUUCAUUAUGCCAAAAUUAUUUGUGGAGACACCUUCGUCACAGAGAAAAAAUGCACGGGUCUUACAAUCCUCCAUCCAUGAUAAGGCUUCCAAAAGAGUCUCACCCUCGCAUAUCGUAUAAUUGAAGGCCAAACAUGAUAGGGUGCUGUGAGUAACGUCCCUAGAGAGUUCUACUUUACUAACUUCUAUUGAGAGUGGCUAAAGCUUGUAGUUGGUUGAAAUGGAUAACUUCUCUACAAUGCUCAUUUCUUUGGCACCGUAACAACUUCUUUGUACACUUAUGAUUGUAAUAGCGAGCUGGUUUGAGCAUUUUGUGAAGCUUGGUGUCCUUCGACUAAUACUAUGAAACCCCAAAACUUCUUAAACCCUUGGAAGCUAUUAAGGAUAAGGAGAAAAUGGAAUUUAGAGGAAAAUAAAUUUAAACUACUUAGAAAGAUUAAAAGUUAAGACAUAGGUUUGAAAAAAAAUCGACAAAAUUUGGCUAAGUGUCAAGAAGAGACACAUUAGGUUUUUGGAGGUUGUAUGGGCAGAAAAGGGGAGCAAAUAACCUCUAAAUAAGGUUAGUUAGGUAGCGAGAUGAGGCUUGAAAACCUCUAAGCAAAGGUGUUUAGUGAUGGUUAGGUGUUUGGGACAUGGGCUUGGCGGCAAAGCCAUGGAAAUAACCUUCAAAGAAGUGUUAUUAAGUGAGGAAGGCUGCUUAUGAAGGUUAGUUAUGCGAGGAAGGCUUGUCUAUGCCAGAAAGGACACACGAGGAAUGCUUGCAACAAUAAUGAUUAAGAGGUUAGUAUAGGGCUUGAGGCUAGGCAUUUCAACUUUAACGUUUUAGUUGGCCAGCCAAGGCUUGGGGAGAUGGACAUUGAGGUUAGCAUGCGAUUAGCUAGGGGACCAAGCUUAGGCUUCAAGAGCUUAUACGGCCAAGACUAUGUGACAAGACCAUAAAGGUUAGCCAUAUGAGUGGUUGUGUCUAUUUUGGACUUAAUAAUUUCAUUUGUGUAUAUUACAAUAGCAAUACGUCACAAAGUCAAGUCAUUGCAUGUAAUGCACUAACUUUAACUCUUAGUAUCACAUGUUUCAAUUCUAGGUGAUGAGUCAUAGGGUCUGAUGAAGGUUGUUGAUGAACGAAACCAUGAAAUUGCAGCUUUAAGAGAGUAGAUGAAGACUCGUGAAACUUCUAAAUCGAGUCAAACUCUCGUUGUCAAAGCUAGUGACAAAGGGAAGAAUGUGGUGCAAGAAAAUCAACCACAAAAGCAAUUGGCUUCUGUGGCUUCCCUCUCAGUUCAGCAAUUACAAGAUAUGAUUGUGAACUCCAUCAAAGCUAAGAAUGGGGGCUCAUCUCAGACUUCUUUCAUAUACUCUAAGUCGUACAUCAAAAGCAUCAUUAACUUGAGAAUGCCUCUUGGGUACCAACCUACAAAAUUCCAGUAAUUUGAUGGAAAGGGCAAUCUAAAGCAGAACAUCACCCAAUUCGUCGAAACAUGCAAGAAUGUAGGAUCAAGAGGAGAUCAACUAGGCAGACAGUUUGUUUGAAGCUUGAAAGGAAGUGCUUUUGAGUGGUAUACUAUUUGGAGCCAAAAAGUAUUGACAAUUUGGAAAAAUUGGAAAAGAAGUUUCUCAAUCACCUCUACAGCACCAGGUGUACUGUAAACAUGAUGGAGCUUACAAACACGAAGAAAGGGAGAGUCAGUCAUCGAUUACAUCAAUUGAUAGAGAGCGCUAAGUCUUCACUAUAAAGAUUGACUCACUGAACUAUUGACUGUAGAAAUGUGCACCCAAGCCAUGCACUAGGGACUCGUCUACAUUUUGUAAGUAAUAUAGCCCCGCACAUUUGAAGAACUGACAACUCAGGCUCAUGAUAUGGAGUUGAUCAUCACCAGUAGAAGAACUAACGAUUUUCCUUUUCCUAAAGUAAAGAAAGACAAGAAAGAGAUGAAGGGUGUCAAAAAGAUAGUGAAGAGCAUCGUGAAAUAAUCUAUGGUCAUAAACACGACUCCGGUGAAGUUCUUCAAAAGAAAGGAAGCGAGAGUUAAGAAGAAGGAUGAUGAAAGCAAGAGGCGAUGUCUGACUUUAAAAGAAAGAUAGGAAAAACUUUACCCAUUUUAUGAUUCAGAUGUCGCAGACAUGCUAGAGCAACUACUGGAGAAGCAGCUGAUCUAGCUGUCAAAAUGUAAGAGAACUGAGCAAGCAGGAAAGGUAGAUGAUCCCAACUAUUGCAAGUAUCAUCAAGGCAUCAGUCACUAGUAGAGAUAUAUUUUGUGCUGAAGAAGCUAAUUCUAAGGUUGGCUCGUGAGAAAAAGGUCGAGCUAGGCUUGGAGGAAGUAGCUCAAACAAACCAUGUUGCAGUGACGAUAAUGUCAGAGGCUCCUCUGUCAAGAUUGAUCUUUUAGCAAAGGAAAAGCUUGGUCCAGUUCAGGACCUUUGAGCCUGUAGUUUUCCAAUUGUAUUAGAAAGUCUCAUCUGAGGAUCCUUAAGGAGAGGCAAAAUCAAUCAAAGAACACGAUGAAGGGUGGAGAGUUAUGACCCGCUGAAAGAAAAGUUAGUUGACUCUUACCCUAAAAGAGUUUCGCUCCUACCAAAAUUAUAGAAGAGGGAAUAAGGCUCAAAAGAAUAAGAAAAAGAAGAAGAUUCAGAAGCUUAAGCUCAUGAAGAGAAAUACAUGGAUUUCUCUCGACCUCAGCGCUUAGUAACCUUGGUAGACUUCCUUCCAAAAAGCUUCAUUUGUGAUCAUCAAGAUGAAGACCCAAAAGUCAAUGCGUGUCAUGCUAUCAGCACAACAAAGGAAGAAAGAAUCCCUUCAAGAUCAUAAGAAGAUGAAGGAGUGUCAUAAGACCAAUCGAGAUUCAAUAUGCAGGGUCUGUUAUCACUUCAUCAAGAGACCAAAAUCAUUCUAAUUGAUGCAUUGUUAACUUCAAGAGCAUCAAGUUUGAGUGUGCUAACUGCUACAUACGAGAGUGCUCCUUAUUGCAUGUCUAUAGACUUCUCGGAUCAGAAUUUGUUGUUGUGAUCUAAACCUUCAUAAUAGACUCUGUAUGUUUCUGGAUAUGUUCGAGAAUAGAGGUCGACCAAAUUCUCAUCAAUAACGAAUCAGCUGUCAACAUAAUGUGUCGACUAUGAGGCAAUUAGGCAUCUUGAUGGACGAUCUCUCAAAUAGUAAGCUGGUAAUUUAAGGUUUCAACCAGGUCAGCCAAAGAGCAAUAGGCAUGAUAUGCUUAGAACUCAUAAUUGGCGACAUAAAGGCCAGUGCAUUAUUUCAUGUCAUAGACUCAAGGACCACUUACAAGUUGUUACUAGGUUGUCCUUAGAUUCAUGGAAAUGGAGUAGUAACUUUGACACUGCAUUAGUGCUUCAAAUUUUAUCAAGACGGUAUAAAGAAAGUUAAACCUGACUCUAACCCGUUCUCAAAGGUUGAGCAUCACUUUAAAUGCAAAGUUUUAUUUGAAGAAUGAAAUUAUCUCAAAAGCUUUGCCUGUAGAAACCCCUUAGAAAAAGAGAAGAUAAUUCACAACUGAAAUCACUUGCAAGCAGGGAACCACAUGAAAGUACAUAAACCUUUAACUCUGGAAAGGGUGAAGCAUACACUAGUAAGACAAAGAGUAUGAUCUUGAAGGAUGAAAAGGCUUCAAACCCACCGAUUUUACGUUAUGUCAAAAAGGCUUAGGGUUUAGGGUUCGUAGAGUCUCCAAAAGGCUUGAAUGUUGGUGACAUUGAAGUCUUAAAAGAAAGCUUCACUACACCACUAACUAAGAUAAUGAAGCAGGAAAUAAAGAUAGACUGACAGAAGCAAACUUGUCCCAAAGACAAACAAAAGAUGAAUUCGACCCCAAGGCUUACAAACUAAUUGCAAAAGUUGGUUAUGACUUCACAACUCACACCGAGUUCAAAAGCAUGAAAAUUCAUGACCGAUCUGAGCUCUCCUCAACUCAAAAGAAGCUUUUACGGAAAGGACAUGUUAUACCCGUGUCAAGAAAAGGACUUGGAUAUAAGUCACUAGAGCCAAUCCAUAUAACUAGAAAGGGGAAGGAAAUAGUGGUUGAUAACAAUCAUAUAACUAUAUAGGAGGUUGACAGUAUGGAACAAAAAGGAGGCGAUAAUCAGAGAACCUCAGUAUUUAACUGAAUUAGACCAUUUGUCGCAUGUCCCCUAGUAUUUAAAAGACUAAGCAUUACGGAGGUAGAAAGAGAACAUCACUAGUCAGUGUUGAGCCUUAAAUGACAUUUGGCCUUUUGAAGGCUAACUAUAACCUCUAUAAAGGAGAAAAGCACAUUAGCCUUUGAAACGCUAGGUGUGUCUAAAAAGAAAAAUGUACAAGCACUCCAUGCUCCAAUUUUUAAUCGUCUUAGGGAUGGAGGCUCACAUGUCAACAUUGGUUCAAACAUAGAUACAAAAAAGAAAUAAUCAACUUCUCGUGCGCCAGUUUGGCACCGAAUUAAGGAUAAAGACGUUGAGAAUUACCAUGGUAAAGAGUUUCCUUGCAAGGCAAAGGGAGAGGGAGAAAUUCAUAGCAAUGUUCCUUCUCGAAUGAAAAGAAAAUCCUUUCUUACUCUCAAUACAAGUCAAGGUUCAUUGAAAGUGAAAAGGCAUAAUGUUAUACUAACUAAUCCUUAAAAGGAAAGCUCAGAACAAGAAGAAGGUGAAACCUCAUGUCAUCACAUCACCAUUAUUAAGAAAUCCGAGAUUGAAACUUCAGAAGAUGACGUGGAAGAUGUCCCAUAAAGUUUAGAGGAUGGUGGCCAAUCUACCGUAGAUGAGCUAAAAGAGGUGAACCUUGGUACAUUAGAGGAACCACACCCAACUUUCAUUAGUGCAUCUCUCUCUAACGGGAGGAGAUAAGUACAUGAGUUUGCUCACCAAAUAUAGGAACAUCUUUGUUUGAUCGUACCAGGAGAUGCCAGAACUUGAUCCAAAACUAACAGUCCAUCAUCUCAUAAUUAAACCAGGGUAUCAGCCAAUUAAACAAGCGCAACAACAUUUUCGAUCAGAGCUUAUUUCCCAAAUCAAGGUGAAAAUCAACAAGUCGAUUGAAGCAGGAUUCAUUUACGAGGUCAAACAUCCAAAGCGGAUAGCAAACAUUGUCCCUGUUAGAAAAAGAACAAACAAUUUUGCAUUUGUGUAGACUUUCGCGACCUGAAUAAUGCAUGCUCUAAAGAUGAUUUUCCUUUGGACAUCACAUAAAUAAUUGUUGAUGCAACUACUGGGCAUAAGGUGUUGUCAUUUAUAGAUGGGUCGUCUAGAUAUAACCAGAUACAAACGGUCCUUUCAAAUGAAGAAAUGACAACUUUCAAGACUCCAAAGAGAAUAUACCAUCAAGGUGAUGCCCUUUGGAUUGAAAAAUGAUGGUGCUAUUUAUUGAUGCACUAUGUAGAAAGUGUUUGAUGAUAUGUUGCAUAAGUAUGUCGAAUUCUAUGUUGAUGACCUUAUGGCUAAAUCUAAGAGACGACAAGACUAUUUGAAGGAUCUAAAAGUUGUGUUUGAUCGCUUGCAAAAAUAACAGCUAAGGAUGAACCCUCUUAAGGGUGCGUUUGAUGUGACUUCAGAAAUUUUUUUGGCUUCAUUAUAAGGCACCGAGGGGAUUGAAAUAGACCAGUCCAAGAUUGAUGUCAUUCAGAAGAUGCUAAGGCCAAUGAGUUUGCAUGAACUUAGAAGUCUCCAAACACGAUUGGUUUACGUCCGAAGGUUCAUCUCUAACCUAGCAAUCGGUAUCAACCUUUUCAAAAGCUGAUGAGAAAAUAAGAAAAUUUUGUAUGGAAUGAGGCUUGUCAUAAUGCCUUUGAUAGCAUAAAGAAAUACUUGCUUAGUCCCAAAGUGUUAGGAGCUCGAGUAUCUGGAAACCCAUUAAAAAUGUACAUUGUUGCAUAAGAAAGGUCCUUAGGACCAUUACUGGCGCAAGAGGAAGAAAAGGGAAAUGAGUGUGCUCUCUACUAUCUAAGCAAGACAUUAAUUGGGGCUAAAGUUAACUAUUCUCCCAUCGAGAUGAUGUGCCUUGCACUUUUCUUUGCCAUCGAUAAGUUGAGGCAUUAUAUGCAAGCCUUCACUGUUCAUCUAGUGGCAAAAGCGGACCCUAUAAAGUAUGUUCUACUAUAUGCAAGCAUUCACUAAUCAUCUAGUGGCAAAAGCAUACCCUAUAAAGUAUGUUCUAUUCAGGCCAAUCAUCUAUGGAUGCUUAGUCAAAUGGGCGAUUCUACUUCAAUAAUAUGACAUUGUCUAUAUUCUCCAAAAGCCUAUAAAAGGACAAGUGCUAGCAGGCUUUUUAGCAGAUCACCCAAUUCCUUCAUAUUGGAAGUUAUGUGAAGACCUGCAAGACAAUGAGGUUUUCUUCGCGGAAGUUAUGGAACCUUGGACUAUGUACUUUGAUGGAGCAGCACGAAGAAGUGGUGUGGGGCAGACAUCGUCCUCAUUUCUCCUGAGAAGCAUAUGUUGCCUUAUAGCUUUGCUCUCACUUAACUGUGCUUGAACAAUGUGGCUGAAUAUCAGACCUUAAUAAUUGGCCUUCAAAUGGCAUUGAAAAUCGGAGUAUCAUUCAUAGAAAUUUAUGGUGAUUCAAAAUUCAUAAUCAAUCAACUCUCGCUUUAGUAUGAUGUGAAACAUGAGGACUUAAAACCAUACUUCGCUUAUGCUCAUCAAUUGAGGGAAAUGUUCGAUAGUGUGAUGCUAGAACAUGUCCCUAGAGCAGAAAAUAAGAGAGCAAACACAUUCACGAAUUUAGCCACUGCCUUGAUGAUGCCAGAUGAUGUAACUCUAAACGUACCACUUGGUCAACAAUGGAUUAUGCCUCCAAUUAUUUCUGAAUGUUAGGAAGUGAACUUGACGACAUCUCAUUUGAUUGAUGAAGAAGAUUGGCAUAAUUACCUAUCAUAGAGUAUCUUGAACAUGGAAAGCUUCUAAAGGAUUCUCAUCAUAAAACUGAGGUAUAAAGAAGAGUUGUGUACUUCAUUUAUUACAAGGGAACCUUAUAUCAUCGUUCUCUUUAAGGGCUCUUCCUUCGAUGCCUUGGAAAGGAAGAGCCAAUAAUAGCUCUAAUGGAAGCACAUGCAGGUGUUUGUGGAACACAUCAAUUGGGACCAAAGCUUCAAUUCCAGCUGAGAAGAAUGGACUACUACAGGCCUAAGAUGAUCCAAGAUUCAAUGAACUAUGUAAAGAAGUGCAAGGCUUGUCAAUACCAUGCAAACUUCAUACACCAACCUUCAGAGCACCUGCAUCCAACUGUUGCUUCCUAGCCAUUUGAGGCUUAGGGACUCGAUCUAGUUGACCUCAUUACACCAAAAUCACCAACAGGACAUUUCUAUAUCCUUGCAGCCAACAGACUAUUUUUUAAGGUGGGUUGAGGUCAUUCCCUUAGAGAGGCCAAGAAGGAGAACAUGGAAGACUUUAUUCGAACGCACAAAAUCUAUCAAUAUGGUAUUCCACAAUGAAUCGUGAUGGAUAAUAGAAGGCAAUUCUCCAAUAGCAUGAUAGACAAAUUAUGUGAACAAAUCAAGUUCAAGCAAUACAAGUCAUCCAUGUACAACAAACUGCGAAUGGGCUAGCAAAAGCAUUCAACAAAACGUUGUGAAAUCUUUUGAAGAAAAUUUUCUCCAAGUCAAAGAGGGAUUGGCAAGAAUGGAUCAGUGAGGUAUUGUGGGCUUAUCGAACUACUCAUCGCACUCCUACAAGGGUUACACCAUAUUCACUUGUUUAAGGUGUGGAGGUUGUCCUUUCCCUUGAAGGGAAAAUUUUGUUGCUAAGAAUCGCAGUACAAGAUGGAUUGACUAUUGAAGAUAAUGCCAAGUUACGUCUUCAAGAGUUAGAAGCACUUGAUAAAAAGCUAUUAGAGGCUCAGCAAGCAUUGGAAUGUUAUCAAGCGAGAAUGUCCAAAGCUUUUGAUAAGCACGUUAAACCUCGCUCCUUUCAGGUUAUUGAUCUAGUACUUGUUAUAAGAAGACCGAUCACCACAACAAGGCAUACAGGAAAUAAGUUCACACCUAAAUGUGAUGGACCCUACAUUAUUAAAGAAGUUUAUACAAAUGGUACAUAUAAGAUUAUUGAUCAAGACAGACUAUGAAUUGGCCCAAUCAAUGGAAAAUUUCUUCAGAAAUUUUAUGCUUAAUUUUGUUAUGUAAAAAAAUAAAAGUUGAACUAUGUUAUGACUUGAUCCCUAUAUUAUAAAGGGUACGUAGGCAACUCAAGGAAAACCUUAAGUCUAGUCCAGUAAAAAAAAUCGAACUACAUAUGACUUGAUUCAGACAUUAUAAAGGGCUACAUAGGUAGCUUAAAGAAGUUUAAGCUCAGUCGUAUAUUAUAAAAUAUAAAAGGGGGCCCUUUUGAGUUAGGCUAUAAUUAGAGCGUCAUUAUCACAAAGACAACCAAACAAUUUAAAUCAAAAAUUAAAAUAAUACAAGUAGAUAAAUAAGAGGAGGGCAGUGAAUCAUCAACUCCUCUAGUGUGUUUUCUAAAUAUUCACGAAGUGCUCAUAGCAUUUUAGCAUAAACAUCUCCAACAAUUGAAGCACAUUCGAGUUUGUCAAUUUCCUCGCAAGUCUUUGAAAUCUCAUGCUACUUCCACUUCAGCUCUAUGUCGUUCUUGAAAAUUAUGUCAGAAAGUUUGGCGGAGUCUGUUCGCACCACCAUUAGUUUUGCUUCUAGUUUAACCUCCUUGGCAGAUAGCUGUGUAAGGUGAUGUUUGACAUUGUUUGUCUCUGCCAAAAUACGAUUCUCAUUAAGUUGCAGAGUCUUCACAAAACCUUUUGCCUCUGUUAACUGAGCAUCCUUAGUUAGUUGGAAUAAAUAUAAGGAAGGUAUUCGAUUAUGGUUCUCGACACCUUGUAAGUAACCAUCCACAAGCUCCCUUAAAAUGGUAAGGUUGUUAUUGCCACUAGUUACAAUUGCAUCAAAGAUCUUACGCAGUUCUGGUUCAAGACUAGUUACUUGCCCUAAAGGGGUAUGAAUGAUCUUCUGUCGUAGGUUUUCCCACAAGGUUAUGGUACUAUGUUGCCGAAGGUCAGAAAUUAAGUUGUCUGCACAAAAAUGAGAAAUCUCAUAAGCUGCAAUAGGCUUUUUUCCUUUCACUUGUUGAGGGGACCCCUUGAUCACAAGAGGAUGAGCUAACUCGAUAGUUGUACUUAUAGGUGUCUUAGAAUUCUCACUAUAAAUAAGUACAGCGUUAUAGCCUUCUGGGUUCAUCAUCGACUUUAAGGUUCCUCUGAUUUGUAGGACAAGGUCACCUAAAGAGGAUUGCAAAAUAAUGUUAACAAGAAAUAAAAGUGGGAGUAAAGGAGAUGAAAUAAAAUAAAUAAAUAAUAAAAAAGGAGACAAAAAAAAAAAACCAUGGGGGAGGGGACGUCAAAAAAUUGUGUGGCAUCGAGAACUUCAGUAGGAGGCUCUUCAUCAUCAAUCGACUGUUUGUCAAGCCUCUUGGGUCCUUACCCACAUUGUUAGUACCACCUCUAAUAGGAAGUUUAAAUCGUGUAGAAAGGGUCGAAUUAUCCAACAAGCAUUUUGUACAUUCCUCGAUUUUCUCCACGGGUCAUUCCUUAGUUUCAUUGGAGCAUAUCUUUUGACUUCCACUACUAAAAUUAUUCUCAAUUUUUUUGUAGUUUUGGAUUUGAUGUAAGGGGGAGUGGGACGAUCUAUCAAAUGUUGCACUCCUUCUUAGAGGUAAUAUGGGCAUUUAGGCUAAGGGCAGGUGCAUGAAGAUAUAUUUGGGAUAGUGCGUUCUCGCGAAUGCAAAUCAUCUAAUAAUAUCGUACGUUGGCAAAAUCAGCUUCAGGAAUUUUUUUGCCUAAGUCAUAUGUCACGUCUUGAUAAAACCAAGUUUUCAGCUAAAGCGACAAGGACUAUAAGGUUCAAUAAUUGUGGAGGAUCCACAUUACAAAGAUAGAAAACAAGAGUGAAUGCUUAUAAAGAAUGCAAUAUUCCAAUUAAUUAACUUUCCAUGGUCCAUUAAGAGUUCGCCUUUAUUCUUUGCCUAAAGAUAUGUGUGCCAUGACACAUACUUUCCCUUGUGAAUAUGUGUUCGAGCCUCAAGAUUAGUAUAGUAUUUGGCCCCACCUUCACCAAAAAACUAAACCAUCGAUGGACCCCUAAGACUUCUAGGGGCUUUAUAAUAAGUGUUGAAGUAAAGAGCAAGCCAUCCGUGAACAUAGUGAAGAGGAAAACAUGUAUUGGAAUGACCAAGUGAUGAAGUAGAAUCAUGAAUCUGACGUAGGCCAUUAUAAAUAUUGGCUAAAACAGGGAUAGCAAGGCUAAAGGUGUAGCCUUCCGCCAUAAAGCUAGCAACCUUAAAGACCUCUGGACGAAGGGUAAGUUGCUUGUUAGGGAACAAAAACACACAUAGCCAACAAGAGAAAAAUGUCGCUAGAUACAUUUUGUCCUUAUGUUCAUUUGAGACGCAUAAGUCAAGGAACACAUUGAGUUCAGCUUCAGACAAGUCUGACGUAUAAUAGGAGUUCCAUCUGGAUUAUGAGUUGAGCUAGGACGAGAAGUUUUUUUCAGCUUUCAAGAUGGCGGCUUCAAAUACUACCUUAGAUCGCGUAACCCAGAAAUAGAUCCAUUCUCUCACAGGGAUUUGAAAAUAUUCAUGCGUUGAGAGGCAAUGUGAUAGUAGGUUGAAAAUAAAUGCUCACAACUUUUUGGACAUGCGUCAAGCGAUUCAAAUAAGUCUUGAUGGCAAGGAAUGUUUUCUUCAUAAAAUCUACCUUUAAUAGGGAGUUUCUCCUAGCAUCCAUAUGUCCCAUAAGGAGAUGGACAUCUCACUAACUGAGGUGUGAAGGGUGUUUGUUAAAGAACACCAUGCCUCACAGAAAGCUCGAACAAUGAUGCUAUUGCGAUCAUAUGUGUACAAGGAGGCCAUUACAGCAUUAAAUAGGUUAGCUCUCUUGAGUACUACUAUAUUUCUAGCAAUGGCAAGCUUUAAUCAUUCCCAAUAAUGGGAAAGAUAGUAAAAUUCUCCAUGGACUUUGAGUACAUUGCCCGAACGAAUUUUUUAGUUGCUUAUAAUUCAACGGUCAAUAUCGAUUCUAGAUUCUCAUUUUGAAACUUGUUGCGGGUCGAGGAUUUGAGAAACCAAGAAGUUAAAUAUAAAUUUAGGUUUACGGACCAUUCCAUAGACCAUUUAACCAAAAAAAUAAAAUUUGUUCUUCGGUAUUUGGGAGUCCAUGAUAUUCUCGAAUGCCCUUUCUCUCACACGGAGAAUGACUCUACUCUCUAAAGCUUGAUUUUCAUCAUUUAUAAUGAUUAAACACCUUUUGAUCGAAUCAGAAUACUCAAUGAAGUGCACUAUGGCGAAAAGCAGAAUUCCUGCACAUAAAAAAAAAUUGGUAAGUAAAAAUAAAUAAAUAAGAAAAAACAAAAAAAAGAAUGAAAAAAUGAAAAAAGAAAGGAAAAAAGAAAAGAAAAUAACGGGAAAGAAAAAUAAAAAAAAUGAGCAAAAAAAAACAAAACAAAAAAGAAGAAAGAAAAUCGAGAAAAACAGAAAAUGAAAAUGAAAAUGAGAAGAACGAAGAAACUCGAUCAUUCCUACUAAGGGUGGAUCAAACGGCAAAAGCUCGAUUGUUUCUUAGUAGAAGUUGGAUCGCUGACGAUGAAGCAGUGCCAAGAUGCCCGAUCGCUCUUACUAGGAAGGUGGAUCUGACGACAAAAGCCCAAUCGUCUCCUAGUAGAAGUUGGAUCACUGACGGCGAAGUAGAACCAAGAUGCCUGAUUGCUUUUAUUAGGGAGGUAGAUUUGACAGUAAAAGUCUGAUCGUCCCCUAGUAGAAGUUGGAUCGCUGACGUCGAUGCAGAACUAAGAUGUUGAUCGUUCCUACUAGGAAGGUGGAUCUGACGAGAAAAGCCCGAUCAUCCCCUAAUACAAGUUGGAUCGGUGACGACAAAGUAGAGCCAAGACGUCUGCUCACUCCUACUAAGGGUGGAUUUGACGGUAAAAGCUCGAUCAUCCCCUAGUAGAAAUCGGAUCGCUUAUGGCGAAGCAGAACCGAGAUGCUUGAUCAUUCCUACUAGGAAGGUGGAUUUGACGACAAAAGCCCGUUCGUUCCCUAGUAGAAGUUGGAUCCCUGAUGGCAAAGCAGAACCAAAAUGCCAGAUCAGUCCUACUAGGCAGAUGGAUCAGAUGACAAAAGCUCGAUUGUCCCCUAGCAGAAAUUGGAACGCUGACAGCGAAGUAGAACCAAGAUGCUCGAUCGUUCCUAAUAGGGAGGUGGAUCAAACAAUAAAAGCUUGAUCGUCCCAUAGUAGAAAUUGGAUCACUGAUGGUGAAGCAGAACCAAGAUGUCUGAUCUCUUCUAUUAAGGAGAUAGAUAUAACGACAAAAGCUCGAUCGUCCCCUAAUCGAAGCUGGAUCACUCACGAUGAAAUAAAACCAAGAUGUCGAAUCAUUCCUACUAGGGAGGUGGAUCUGAUGACAAAUACAUGAUCGUCCCCUAAAAGAAAUUGUAUAGCUGAAGGCGAAGCUAAGCCAAGAUGCCCGAUCGUUCCUACUAGGUUGGUGGAUCUGACGAUAAAAGCAUGAUCGUCCCCUAGUAGAAAUUGGAUUGCUGACGGUGAAGCAUAGCCAAGAUGCCCAAUCAUUUCUAGUAGGAAGGUGGAUCUAACGACAAAAGCCGGUCAUUUUCUAGUAAAAGUUGGAUCGCUGAUGGCAAAGAAGAACUAAGAUGCCCAAUCGUUCCUACCAGGCAGGUGGAUCUGACGGUAAAUGUCUGAUCGUUCUCUAGUAGAAGUUGGAUCACUGAUGGCAAAGCAAAACCGAGAUGCUCGAUCGUUCCUACUAGGAAGGUGUAUCUGACAGCAAAUGCUCGAUCUGUUGGAAUUUAUGUCCUAAAACUCGUAGUUUGUAAAUCAUAUUUUAUUCAAUAAAGUCGUUACUGAUACUAUAAUCUUAAAGCCAAUAAACUAAGGACUCGAGGCUAUUAUUGAGUAAAUUUGAAUUUUAUGUAGAGACAAAAACAUGGAUCAAGUUUGAGUAUAUAGUCUAAAUAGUCUAUAGUAUAAGAAUACGGUUGGGCACCUUAAUCUGGAGACAUUAUGGAUGCAGCCCGCUUUGUAGUUAGUACAAACAAUGUGAUUCUGAAUCGUUCAUGUAGAGACAUGGAAUUGAGGGCAUCGUAUGUAAAAAGUUUACAUAAGACUAAAACCAUGAAAUAGUCGCUUUUAGGUUAUAACACCAUUGACUUUUAAAAAAAUUGACUAUUUCUUUUACAGAUAUCCAAGGUAACUUAAUCUUAAUCUUGAGUUAACUAUGAACUUCUAUUCACACAAAAUUAUCUUUAGAUCUGCAUAGGUGAGGGCAUCUCAAUGGCACUGGCCCAAUAAGCCUCUCGUUUAAGAAGACCAAAUGGAUAGCUAAGGACAUAGGGUGAAAGAUGAAAUUCGCUCCUACAUGUUUUAAAGAUAGUAGAUAGGUUGUUCCCUUAAGCACUGAAUCUAGGUCUUGAACAAGGGGCCCCACCCUCUCGUUGGCCCGAGAGGGAUUUAGUUUAAAGGUUGGACGUUAAACCAAUUGUUCAGUAGUGGAUCAGUAGAACCUACGGAGCAAGAUGUAGUCUCAAGGGUAAAACGGUACUUUGACCUGGCUGAGAUUACAAACAAUCUGUGAAGGAUUAACUUACUUAUUAUGACUAUAUCACAUGGACACAAAUAUAUCUAUAGUGAGGGGAGUGAAACUACGGGACUUUAGUGGAAUGACCCGUUAAUUAACGAAGGUUGAUUAACUCGAUAUAAAAGAGUUUAGCCAGUUAAUCUCAGAUCAUUGGAGUUCAUGAUCUAUAGGUCCAUUAGGUUCCCUCACUAGCUCACAAGGAAUCAACUUGAAACAUUAUGAUGGAAUAAUUCGGAUUGUUCGAAUUAGGUAAAGAGAGAGAAACUAACGAAUAUAUUUGAUAUAGUUGUUGGCUCCAGAUAGAGCUUCAUGUUUAAAUGUUAUUUAAAUAUUAAAAAUAUGUAUAUGGAUUCAUAUUAGGAAGCUCGAAAUUGAUGGAAAUGGUCAAAGUUGUGAAAAGUCAAACUUUGACCGACUUUAUAUUAAAAUAUGAUUUGAAUUUCAGAUAAAUGAAUUUGAAUUCAUGCUCGAGAGGUCGAAGUUAGUCAAGACGAACAAAAUGGUAAAAAAGUCAAAAUGUUGACUUUGGACUUGAAAAAUUCAAACUUUAAAUUUGAUUUAAAUAUUAAAUUACCAUAUUGCCCUUAGACUAAUUAAAUAAUAACACUUGUUAGGAUUUGGUAAACUUAUUACUUGCAUGUGGUAUGCAAGUGACUUAUUGCAUGCAAGACACCUACCCUACUUAGAAUUCCAAGUGGUGAGAUAGGGAAACUCUUACAAGCAAACUACAUGCAAGAGUUUCUUUUGCAAAUAUGAUAGGACUCUUGUGUUUGAAAAAUGCAAGAAUUAAUUUUGUAAUUGAGAAUUACAAAAUAAAACUAAGAACGUUUUUUCUCUCAACACCAAAGGGACCUAAUAGUUAGGUUCCUCUAUUUUUCCUUCCAUCAUUCGAGUCCCACAACUCAGUUCCAAGUACGGAGAAUAGUGGGUGAACUCUAGUGGUAGUCUCGGCUUCGAGUUCAUGAGGAGAUUGUGAAAAGAUUACAAGAAAAGAAAAGCAUGAGUUUUCUUUUAACCCUAUCUUUGUUUCAAUUAGGAUUGUUAUGCAUGUUGGUUACUAAACUUGUUUAGUUGCAAUUAGAGUAAAGUUUGAUCAUUAUUCCCCUAUGCAUGUCUACAAUUUCCAUCACGAUCGUUCCCUAGUAGAAGUUGGAUCACUGACGACAAAGCAAAAUCGAGAUGUCUGAUCGUUCUUACUAGGGAGGUAAAUCUGACUGCAAAUGUUUGAUCGUCCCCUAGUAGAAGUUGGAUUGCUAACGACAAAAAAAAAUCGAGAUGCCCGAUCUUUUUUAUUAGGGAGGUGGAUCUGAUGACAAAUGCUUGAUCAUCCCCUAGUAGAAGUUGGAUCCCUAUGGGUGGAGUCACCCCUGCAAACGAUUGCAAAAGAAAAAUGAACGAAGAAGAAGAAGUUCUUACCUUUAGCUCAUGUAAAAGAAAAGGGAAGAGAAAAAAAAAUACCAACAACAACAAAAGUGAGAAAAAAGAGGAAGAGAGAAAAAGAGAAAGAAGUUUUUCAUACCCUUCUUUUGGUGGACGAGGAAUAAAUUAUGAAAGUGUGGGUUUAAUUAUAAGUCAAACAAUUUCUAAAAGGAUUAAGAAUGAUCUUUAAUCAUUUUUUAAACAAAUUUAAUUUCUAAAAGGAUUAGAAAGGAUAUUUAAUCAUUUUUAUAACAAAUCUAAUUCCUAAAAGGAUUAGGAAUAAUAUUUAAUCUUUUUUUAAUAAGAAAGAAAAGAUAAUUCAAUUAUAUUACUUUAUUGUUUAAAAAUAAUAAAAUAAUAAUAAUACUCAUUUUUUGGAAUAAAUCUCAAAUUUCAUUUUUGAGAAAUUAAAAUAUUUAAAUAUUUCAAAUUUUUUGAAAAAACUUAGAUCUUAUUCCCAAUUUUUAAAAUUAAAUUUUUUAUUUAAAAUACAAGUCAAAUGAACUUGCAUAUAUGGUCUUAUUUUUAUCUCAAAUUUAAAUUGGAGACAUGAAUCUUGUUAGGUCUUAUAAACUUGCAUAUAACUCUAUCUCAAGAUUGAUAGCCUUCUUUUUUUUUUAAUCUCAGAUUAAAUUUAAAUUUUUAUCCUCAAAUCAAAUUAAAUUGCGGAUAAAACUUUGAACUUUUCUCAAAUUAACUUAGGUUUGGCCAUAUUCCAACCCUUAUUUCAAAUUUAAAUUAAACUCGUGUACUAAAUUAAUAGUUUGAUUAAUUUGAUAUGUAGAAUUGAGCAAAAAAAAAAAAUGUUUGUAUCUUGACUUCAAAUUUAUCUUUUUUCAAGAUUCAUUCACCCAUAUACGUGCAUAAAUCUCAAAGAGUGUCAUUUGUUGAAUAGAAAAUUUUGAGACCAAUGACAAAUUGUCACAUCAUUUACUAAAUUAACGAUGAAAAGUGCAAAUAAUUGAUUUUGUGACUAAUUAAAAAACUAACAUGUGUCCCAAAUUAAAAUUGAAAACAUAAAUUAGUCAAUUCUGAUAGUGCCACAUGUUUUCAUCAUAACAGUUGGAGCAAGUUAAGUUCAUUUGAUCCCAAAAAUAAGCUUAAUUAGCUCAAAGUCUAAAUAUGACUCAAAUCCAUGUGGUUGAGUUCAUGGGCUUGGUCCAUGGACCAACCAGGCUCAAGAUCAUAAAAUCCACCAUAAAACUCUACAAAUAGAGAAGUUCUCAUCAUUUGUAAGAAUUAAAAAAAUUUUACUCCAAAAAGUCUAGAAAGAAUUCUCCCAAGAGCUAUAAGAUUUCCUAACUCCUAAAGUUGACCGUCCUUGAAGAUUGAAAAUCUUUUGAAGAUACAAGUUUUCUUUCAAAAUUCCAACUUCAAUAGCAUCACGUGUUUCGCUUCCUCCAGAUAAAGCGUAGAUGUUCAACUGAGAGAGAAACAGAUGAUCAAAUUCUAGAGAUUGAACCACAUUACAUCAAAUCAACAUAAAUACAACAUCAACUCAAGUUCAACUCCACGAAUCAAAUUUCUCCAAAAAUCCCGUACGAACAAAUGUCUCUAUGUUUAUUAUAUAUCUUGGUGGGAGAAUAAUAAUAAUAAAGUAUUAUCAUUAUUAUUAUUAAUGGUAAUUAUAAAUGCUUAAGAUUUUGUACAUUUAAGGAAUUGUAAUAGGAAAAUAAACAAUAACGAUAAAUAUUAUUACUAUUAUUAUUUGAGUUUAUAAAUGGCAUUAAAAUGCUUAAAUUGAAAAGAAAAUUAAAAAAAAAAUCAUCUUCUUUCCUAAGAUAACCCUAGCCGAGUUGCCCCUACUUGAUUGAAGAUAUAUGUCGUUGCCUUUUACCGUCGUCGCUCGGUUUGGUUAAGAUUGGUAACUUAGGUGAGUAUUUUGGAUCGUUAUUGUGAAAUUUUAAUACUCAUUGAAGGUUAAUUGAUACUCUAAAUUAAGUUUAUUAUUAGAAUUGAUUUUAGUUGCAUGUCUUUAGGAGGUCCCUUUGACAAAGCUUAAGGAUAUAAAUGAUCAAUUUUCCCAUCAAGGUUGAGAUAGAUUUUCAAGCUCCAUUUGGGUAAGUUUGAUAAGCUAAGGUAAUUAAAUUAAUAUUUUGUUGAUAAAAAUUGUUAAUUUAAUUUUGAUUAUGAGAAAGUUGAAUUGUUGUUUCAUCUGCAAGGAACUCAGCAUAACCUAGGUUAAAGGUUCUUCUACUAGGUCCCAAUUAAGGGUUGAAUUGCUGACAUAAUUGAUAAUUUUAUUAAAUAAAAUUAUUAAUUAUUUUCUUUAUGUUAGGGUUAAUUUCUGAUUUUUGGAUAUACCCAUCAAAUGUUAAUUAUUAGUUCGAAAAUAAAUUUAAUUUGAAUUUUUGGAUAUACCCAUCAAAUGGUGGGGUCGGGUUAAUAGGUAUGAUUAGUUCAUCUUGCCAAAAGAGGUGUUUGUAGUUUGCCAAGUACAUAACAUCGUGAGUCAUGUAUGUAUAAGGUUCGAAGAAGGCAGAGAAUGGACACAUUGGGUUCUAUCACCCGAUAACUGUAUGCUUGACAUUAUAACUAUUAUUCAAAACAAGAAAUUUGAUACAAAUCAAUGCUUCUUAUUAAAUGCAUAUAUACAUUUCUACCAUAUGUCUUAUAUCUCAUCCAUGGAAACUCGGUCUCUCUGUCUUUCUCAUGUUCUUAGAUUGCUAUUUUUGUUAGGAUUUGCAUUGCUUAUCUGGAUUCCACGUGGAACCUCAUCCAACAUAUCAAUUGCUUUACCUUUAGUGUAAGUGAAAGAUAAGUAUUAAAGUUAUGUCCUUUGCAGUUUCUCCCUUGAUUGUUUUAUAUUUUUUAUAUGUCUAAAUUGACUAUAGGUAUUUAUUUAUUUGUUUCUUUAUGUUACUUAUGGUGUUCUGUAACAUUUGAUUUUUAGGACGAACAGAAAAGGCUCUCUUUCUAUGCUUCUCCCUUCCUUCCAUUCAGAAAAUUCACAUUUAAAGAUAAGAAAUCCAAAAAGGUAUCCAUCUAAAGUCAUUCUGGUAUUUGUCGUUUCACUCAUGUUGUAUUGUAUGUUUAAGAAAUUCUUGGCUACUUUAAAUUUUGAAUCUUGUGCCUUGCAGAUUCCUGUUGUCAACUAUAUUUUCCAAGAUUCUCUCAAGCGAAAAGUUAGCAAUGCAAUUAGUUAUACCCUGACUUAGUUUGUUUUCUGCAAUUACUUAUAUAUUCAAACUUACACACUUCCAUGGAGUUUUGAAUAUGCAGUGAAUGUUUAAUAGAUUACAUAUUUCCCCUAUAGGUUGUUAACGUACAUCAGGCCUUGGAGAAGUUUUUUUGUCCUUGAUUCCUCUUGUAUCUAAAGAGGAAAUUCAACCUAAUGGAGUUGAUUGGAGUGUUGAAUGUGCAAAUGUUCAUGCUACAUCAAGGAUUCAAGUAUUGAAGUACUGUCUAAAACUUUAUAUAUAAAACAAACUAUAGCAAUGCACAAUUAAUCAGUGAACGCAGAGAAUAAUUGUGGUAUGGAGUGUUCUCUAUCUACUGGCUUUCUCCUCUCCUAUUUUAUGAUGGAAGAAACAUCUGUCAUAAUGUAUCUUAUAUGCUCACUUGUUGAAGAACCUUUCACAACUAUAACUGGAUAGGUGUGAAUUUACAAAAUAAGUAUUAUAUUUGUGCUGUCAUUUUAUUUGAAUUAAGAAUGUACUUGUUAUAAUAGUUAAACACUUGUGUUAGUAAGUAUUUCAAACUUGGUUGGAACAAAGUGUUAGUGAUUAUUUCAAACCUUUUGGAUGAAUAUAAUGCUUCCUUGUUUGUGUGUUAUAAAUUUGAAUAUUUUGGUUAUAGUUGUGAUUGUAGAUUUGAGAUGUGAAUUACACCUUUCAAAUAUGGCAAAUUAUUUGAUGUAUAAACAUGAUCUAUAUAAUUAUAAUUUGAUUUUACAAUAAUAAUAUUAACAAAUGGUUAUUGGAUAGGUGCUUAAAAAAUGCUCUAGAAGGUCCAUCAACAUUAAAAUUCAUGCGUAUGUACAAUAUUUUUCCAUUACGAUGAAUAAUGCUAAUAGAAAUAGGAGACUUUCGAUAACAUUUUUAAAACCACUAUAUAGUUUUUACAACGUUUUUUUUUUUUUUUGUUAUAUAAACUAUUUUGUUGUACUUUUUCAAUACUUUAAAACACUUCCAUAACAUUGAAUUAUAGCUAUCAUAUAUAAACUUUUUAUAUUAUUAUUAUUAGCUCUACAAAAUCCCUAUAAAAAGUCAAGGAAUUUUUUGCUAUGAAAGCAUUCAUAAAAUGCUACAAAAAAAACUUUUAUAGCAUUUUUUAAAUAUUAUUAAAAAAUCUAUUGAAGCGUUUUGACAACGCUUUUCGAACGCAAUAAAGAAUGCUAUAAAAAGUCUUUUAUAGCAUUUUUCCAAUGUUAUUAAAAAGCUAUUGAAAUAUUUUGAUAGCGCUUUUCCAAUGCAAUAAAAAACACCAUCAAAUUUUCAAUACCGUUUUUUUUUUUCACGUUAUAAAAAGUAUUUAUAGCAUCAUAUAUAUGCUAUCACCAGGAACAUUUUAUAGCGUUUUACAUAGCGUUGUAAAAACGCUAUGGAAAGUCAUAGAGUUUUAAUAACAUGGACUUCGACAGCAUUUCGAAAACGCUAUUGAAAAACAACGAUAGCGUUUUUUAUGCUAUCGUAACUCAUAUUUCUUGUAGUGUCAAUGAGGGUUUGUUGCCUUUAAAAGUGAUAUUUUCUGUAGUGUCAAUUAGUUUGAAAGUUUAGGUUGUUAAUGAGGGUUUGUUGACUUUAAAAACACUCUUUGUGUCCGAAAAUGCUAACCUUGCACGUCAAAAAUUUCUGAAUUGUUUUUUUUAGAUCGGUCCGAGAUGCAUCAAGAUUUGCUCCUUUAUCGGUUGAACAAGCACUGAGAUCUUGAUCGAAAAACAUAAAUGUCAUUUACUUCAAGUUCUAAGUGAACAAAGCCCUGAGAUGGCCCGAGUUCUUCUUGCCUUCUACUCUGAGCUUUCAAUCUCAGUUGAACACAACCCCGAGAUUGUUCGAGAUCCUUCACUUUUGAACCUUCUUUUUUGCAUCUCGGCUACCAUACCCCGAGAGUAUCGAGAUUUCACUUCUACCUUUUAUCUCGAUCGAACAGGACCGAAUCCCGAAGACACUUAUUUUGUUUAACAACCAACUUUUUCCUCAACUUUUCUUCCUAUCAACUACUCAACACAACUUCAACCUUAACAUGUAACUUGAACCAAAUCUUAAGAUUUCUCUUUCUUUUACCAAAGCUUACCAAGUCCUAAAGGUUAUAAAAAUUAGGGUUUUGCACACUCUCACCAGAUAUAUAUCUUCAUUAUUCUUUUUUUUUUAUUAUUCAACAUAAGAAAACUAUUGAUAUUUCUUCAUUAAACAAAAUAUAACUUGAAUGGAGAACAAAACUUAGAAUAUAAAAAACAACUGAGAGAUAAAAAACAUUAAUUUUUAUAAAAAUCACAAAAAAAAUGCAUACAGUUUUUAUCAAAUAUGCAAUUUUCUAUUAAGAAGAUUCAAAACUCUACCACAUGCAAAAUUAUCAAACUUGAUAAGUCAAAUAUAUUAUUAAUCUUUUUUCCUGUUUUUUUGUGGAGCUUUUCUUUUAUGAUCAUCAUUUCGUGUGGUUCUUAAAUUUGGAUGAUUAUUUACCAACCACGAAAAGUACUCAUUUCUUCUUUUACUACGAUUACAACCUCGAUUACAAUUGUCAAAUUCACAACAUUCAGGAAAUGAUAUUGUUCCAAUAGGUCAAGGUUCAUGAUUUUCUAUCCACCGUGAUUAAAAUUUCACAACAUUCAAGGAAUGAGAUUAUUCCAGAUGGUCAAGGUUCAUGAUUUUCUAUCCACCAUGAUUAAAAUUUACUACAUUCACCAAUAAAUGUUGGCUCUUUCGAUGACAGUUAUUCAUAAUUCUUCAACCAAUAACUCAUUAUUUCUGUAACGAUCCCGCUAUUAUAAAACUAGCUUAGAACAUUACUUUCAUCCAAAGACACUUUAAAAUUCAAACCAAAACAAAUCAAAAGAAAACUUACAUUCAUAAGGGUCCAAAUCCAAUAGUUAAAAUACAAAAGAUUAUAAAAUUUGUUCCCAAAAAUGAAAAUCAAACAAAAUUUAGUUCUAGUCCUAUUUCAAAUAAAAAUAAAAUUAAAAAGUGUUUAUGUUUUACAAUAGUUCUAAACAUAAAAUUCAUCAUAGUCAACAAAACUUGCAAACAAGCAAAGCGAAUUCUCAUAUGGCAUUCACGAGUUCUUGUCACACGCCUAUGUCUCUCAUAUCAUCUUUGUUUGAAAAAGUUAAACAAGAAAAUGUUAUGAUUAUGAAAAUAUACUAGUAAGAAAUUCACUAUGAAUCCACACCAUAAUCCCAUAGGAGUUGGUUUCCUCCUAGCUAGAAAAGUUCAUUCCACCCAAAACAAUACAAACACUCAAAUCAAAUACAAUCAAAUCAAAUCUAUCAACAAUAAUUAAGUUGAAAUUAUAACUAGUCAAAAUAAGCAUGCAAGUAGACAUCUCCAUCAAUGUAACAAGGUCGAUACAUUUCAACUGAUAGUAACUGAAUUGCUUCAAAAAUUCGUCAACAACCUACAAACGAAAUAAUGACUUAAAGUCCAAAAAUUAAUUUAGUGAGCACCAAAACUUGAUAUUUCAUGAGAUACCAAAUUCCAAUCAAAAGCAUGCCAAAGUACCAAAAUCAUUCAACUUGGCUCAACUGGUGGCUUAGCUAAAGAAAAGAAAAGAAGAAGUCUUGGAUCUGGACAGUUAGCUCGGGUUGGCUGGUGACCGGCGUGGAGAUAAAGACGUCGGCUCGAAUUUGAAAAAACGGAGGGGAGGAAUCGCAAUGAAGCUUCGACGGCAGCUGCGAACAACGGAGAGCUGAGCUGUACGGUGGAAGAAGCCGGCGAGGCGGAGGAGGACCGAAAACGAAGAGGAAGACGUUCGGACUUGGAACGACGCUCAAACUCUUGAUGGAGAUGUCGGCUCGCAACGACUGGGAAGCUCAACGGGAUUGGGACGGAGAACAGACGUGACGACAACCGAUCGAAGAUGGUGGACGGUGAAGAGCAAACUGCGGCUAGGAUAUGAAGAGGAUCGGAAGAAGAUGAAUGAGAAAAAUGGAGGCAUAAGAAACACGAGGGUUAUUUAUUUAAAAUAAUAAUAAUAAUAAUAAAUAAUAUUUAUUAAUAUUAUUUUUUUCCCACUAAAUAUUAAACAAUAUAUAUUUCCUCAACAGUUAUUUUCCUUAACUAAAUUUCCUCUCACCCAUCAAACUCCAAUAAUUUAACUCCCAACAAUUUAAAAUCUUAAUAAAAUAAAAAAGAUAAAUUUUGAAGCGUUACAAUUCCAUUCAUCCACGAGAAUACAUUAGAUAAGUGUAUAGUAUUUUUAAAAAUAUUUCUCUCAAUAAUUGAUGUGUAUAUUGAAGUAGAGGACGUUAUUGAUCAGAAGAUGCAAAAAUUGACACAGUUGCAAAAAAGGAAUUGCCAAUACAAGAGUCAUGCAAUAGUACAAGAAAAGAAUAACAAUUAAAGAAAUUUUGUGUUCGAUUGAGUAAUAAAAAUUCCUCUACCUUAUAGUAAUCAAACAAUAAACUAAAGAAGCAGUUGAAGAUAUUUGGAAUAAAGAUUAACACAACAAAAAAACUCAUAUAGAAUUGAUUUUCCUAUCAGUAAACAAUAAUUUCUUUGCUACUUAAAUUAACCCUCAGUGAAUUGAUUCAACAACCAAUUAUCUUACAGCAAUAAAUCAAGAAAUAUAUCAAUUUCAAAGAACAUGCUUUUAUCCUUAGCCGUUUCUACAUGUUCAUUUAAAAUUGCAUAAAGAACCAAGGCAUCAUGUUGAGGUUUUCUAAAGCAAGGAAUGUCUCUAUCUAAAGAAAUAUUAUUUGAGCAAAAUUCAAAUUGAAAAUCCAACACAAAUCAAUAAGAUAGACAGGUUAAAGUUUUAAUCAACAAUGUUCAAACCAUCAUAAAGUUCUAAUCAACAAUGUUCAAAUCAUCAUACUUCAAACAUUGUGCUUAGUGUCACAAUCGUAGCGUUUCAACCUCGAGACGGACGAUUGUGCGGCACUUGUUCUAACUCACGAACAAGUCAGCCGAUCAAAAUCCAAGAGUUGUGGGUAACGUCGGUGUAUGUCGUAACCUUCCUUCGCGUUUUAGGGAAAUUUUAUUUAUAAAACGCGGGAAAGAAAGAAAUACAUUGAAAUAGACGUUACAAUAAGCAUUAAAGACUGUCAGUUGCAAGGAAAAAGGGUUGCUUGCAAAGAGUACAACUAAUGCUUGGGCGGGGAUUCAACUGGUAUGCCUCCCCUAUAGUACAUUUUGAACAUUUUCUUCUCUGGCAGGCUUGCAUAUGGAAAAUGCCGAAACGUCACACCCAAGCUUUAUGACCUAG